This 543-nucleotide long non-coding RNA is filed under the name Olea europaea subsp. europaea. Lineage: Eukaryota; Viridiplantae; Streptophyta; Magnoliopsida; Lamiales; Oleaceae. The record is from RNAcentral.
CUGUAAUACUGGAGCGUUAAUGUUGUGAUAGAAUAGCACAAAGAACCAACAUUUGUUUAGAGAAGUAUUAUUAUUAUUAUUAUUAUUUUUAUUAUUAUUAUUCUUAUUAUUAUUAUUAUUUUAGGCUAUCUCCAUUCGAGGGUGCUAGAAGCUAGGGCCCUGGAAUGGGUAUUACACCAGGAGCGGGUCUAUGACCAAGUCUCCUGGUGUUGUUUUGUUCAGAAUGCGGGGAGGCUAUUAGUUGGUGACUUAUUGUCACCAUAUUCCCUCCCGUGGCCACCCCCCCCCCCCCCCCCUAUGUGGUCCUAUCGUGUAUCCGAUAGGAAACACAUUUGGGGGUUUGGAACAUGUUCCAAGGGCCACUUUUUCGCAUUCUGAACUUUCGCGGUUGUUGUUCAUGGAGAUGUGUUGUGGCUCCACUACUUCCUGGGACGUUACUGACACAUCUAACCAUCCAGGUAACAACCACUUUACCCAUUAGUCGCCUUAUACGACAGGCAGGGUACACGGCCUUGGGAGUAUUCUUUCCCCCUACCCACAGGG